This is a non-coding RNA of Zonotrichia albicollis (white-throated sparrow), 715 nucleotides long. Lineage: Eukaryota; Metazoa; Chordata; Aves; Passeriformes; Passerellidae. The record is from RefSeq and is a predicted model, not a curated record.
GUCUCCACACAAGGUUGCGAGUUUCUGGCUGUGAGCUCCUGUCCGAUGGGAGCAUCCGUGGAUCCCACCAGGAUGGCUACGACGGGCGGGAUUUCAUCUCCUUUGACUUGGAAUCUGGGAGAUUGGUGGCGGCUGACAGCAGUGCUGAGAUCACCAGGAGACUCUGGGAACAGGAUGGGACCGUGGCUGAGUAUUGGAUGAAUUACCUGAAGCACAUCUGCCCGGAAUGGCUCCAGAAAUACAUCAGAUAUGGGCAGAAGGAGCUGGAGCGCAAAGAGCCCCCUGAUGUCCACGUGUCUGGAAGAGAGGAACAUGGGAUGCUGACCCUGUCCUGCCACGCGUAUGGAUUCUACCCCAACACCAUCGCAGUCAGCUGGAUGAAGGGGGGUGAAACCUUGGAUCAGGAGACGGAGUGGGGCGGGGUCGUUCCCAACAGCGACGGCACCUUCCACACCUGGGCCAGGAUCGAGGCGCUGCCGGAGGAGCGGGAGCAGUACCGGUGCAGGGUGGAGCAUCCCGGAAUGCCAGAGCCCGGGAUCUUCACUUGGGAGCCGACAUCUGGCAGGAAUCUCACUGUGGUGGUCGCUGUGUCCGUCAUUGCUGCCAUCCUCAUCCUCAUUGUCCUCAUUGGAUUCGGCAUCUGGAAGCUCCAAUCCGGGAGGAGAGACUGGAAGGGAUACAACCAGGCAGCCGGUGAGUUCCAGUGGUGGAUCCA